This 32-nucleotide ribosomal RNA is filed under the name Penicillium concentricum. RNAcentral's name for it is "partial 28S ribosomal RNA". Lineage: Eukaryota; Fungi; Ascomycota; Eurotiomycetes; Eurotiales; Aspergillaceae. The record is from RNAcentral.
UGACCUCGGAUCAGUAGAACCAACUAAGAACA